GACGAACGCUGGCGGCAUGCUUAACACAUGCAAGUCCACUGGAAAGUGGGUUUUUAUCUUAGGUUUUGGUGGCGCGCGGGUGAGUAACGCGUAAAGAUAUUGCCUCACAGCUAGGGACAUCAUUUGGAAAAGAUUGCUAUUACAUAAUAUUAUGAUAAUAGGUCAUCCUAUAAUUAUGAAAGCUAUCAGCGCUGUGAGAGAGCUUUGCGUCCCAUUAGCUAGUUGGUGAGGUAGCGGCUCACCAAGGCGAUGAUGGGUAGCCGGCCUGAGAGGGUGAUCGGCCACAAGGGGACGGAGACACGGCCCGUACGCCUACGGGAGGCAGCGUGGGGGAAUAUGGGACAAGGGACCGAGAGUCUGAUAGAGCAAUUGUGUGUGCACGAUGAAGUUUCUCGGAAUGUAAAGUGCUUUCAGUUGGGAAGAAACAAAUGACGGUACUAACAGAAGAAGUGACGGCUAAAUACGUG
This 467-nucleotide ribosomal RNA is filed under the name uncultured bacterium. Its description in RNAcentral is "partial 16S ribosomal RNA". It matches the Rfam family "Bacterial small subunit ribosomal RNA", at positions 28 to 507 of the family's 1533-position model. The record is from RNAcentral.